Molecule: ribosomal RNA, 148 nt
Filed under: Fusarium sp. 08006
Lineage: Eukaryota; Fungi; Ascomycota; Sordariomycetes; Hypocreales; Nectriaceae
Also listed under: 1 other name
Description: partial 18S ribosomal RNA
Rfam family: Eukaryotic small subunit ribosomal RNA
Source: RNAcentral
CGAUUGAAUGGCUCAGUGAGGCGUCCGGACUGGCCCAGAGAGGUGGGCAACUACCACUCAGGGCCGGAAAGCUCUCCAAACUCGGUCAUUUAGAGGAAGUAAAAGUCGUAACAAGGUCUCCGUUGGUGAACCAGCGGAGGGAUCAUUA